GCCUGUAAUUCAGUGGUUGUCGUUUGUUUAUGUGUUAAAUAUUUGUUUGUCGUUCAUUUUUUUUUACAUAAAUAAGGCCGUUAGUUUUCUCGUUUGAAUUGUUUUACAUUGUCUUAUCGGGGCCUAUUAUAGCUGACAAUGCGGUAUGGGCUUUGCUCAUUGUUGAAGGCCGUACGGUGACCUAUAGUUGUUAAUGUCUGUGUCAUUUUUGUCUUUUGUGGAUAGUUGUCUCAUUAGCAAUCAUACCACAUCUUCUUUUUUAUAU
This 265-nucleotide long non-coding RNA is filed under the name Mytilus galloprovincialis (Mediterranean mussel). Lineage: Eukaryota; Metazoa; Mollusca; Bivalvia; Mytilida; Mytilidae. The record is from RNAcentral.